GUGGGGAAUAUUGGACAAUGGGCGCAAGCCUGAUCCAGCCAUGCCGCGUGAGUGAUGAAGGCCUUAGGGUUGUAAAGCUCUUUCAGUGGGGACGAUAAUGACGGUACCCACAGAAGAAGCCCCGGCUAACUUCGUGCCAGCAGCCGCGGUAAUACGAAGGGGGCUAGCGUUGUUCGGAUUUACUGGGCGUAAAGCGCACGUAGGCGGAUCGUUAAGUCGGGGGUGAAAUCCUGGAGCUCACGUCCAGAACUGCCUUCGAUACUGGCGAUCUUGAGUGCGGAAGAGGGGAGUGGAACUCCGAGUGUAGAGGUGGAAUUCGUAGAUAUUAGGAAGAACACCAGUGGCGAAGGCGGCUCACUGGUCCGGUACUGACGCUGAGGUGCGAAAGCGUGGGGAGCAAACAGGAUUAGAAACCCUGGUAGUCC
This 425-nucleotide ribosomal RNA is filed under the name uncultured bacterium. RNAcentral describes it as "partial 16S ribosomal RNA". It matches the Rfam family "Bacterial small subunit ribosomal RNA", at positions 354 to 796 of the family's 1533-position model. The record is from RNAcentral.